GGGAAUUAGCUCAGUUGGCUAGAGCAUCUGCCUUGCACGCAGGGGGUCGCGGGUUCAAGUCCCACAUUCUCC
This 72-nucleotide transfer RNA is filed under the name human gut metagenome. It matches the Rfam family "tRNA". Rfam says of the family: Transfer RNA (tRNA) molecules are approximately 80 nucleotides in length. Their secondary structure includes four short double-helical elements and three loops (D, anti-codon, and T loops). Further hydrogen bonds mediate the characteristic L-shaped molecular structure. tRNAs have two regions of fundamental functional importance: the anti-codon, which is responsible for specific mRNA codon recognition, and the 3' end, to which the tRNAs corresponding amino acid is attached (by aminoacyl-tRNA synthetases). tRNAs cope with the degeneracy of the genetic code in two manners: having more than one tRNA (with a specific anti-codon) for a particular amino acid; and 'wobble' base-pairing, i.e. permitting non-standard base-pairing at the 3rd anti-codon position. The record is from RNAcentral. RNAcentral also lists the same sequence under 1 other name.